UCAGGUGGGUGAGAGGCCGAAGCCGCGAGACUCAUAAUCUCGUCCGGCAUGCAGGCGCGUUGGUUCGAAUCCAACCCUGUCCACCA
Molecule: transfer RNA, 86 nt
Filed under: Pseudomonadota bacterium
Lineage: Bacteria; Pseudomonadati; Pseudomonadota
Description: Proteobacteria bacterium (groundwater metagenome) tRNA-Met
Rfam family: tRNA
About the family: Transfer RNA (tRNA) molecules are approximately 80 nucleotides in length. Their secondary structure includes four short double-helical elements and three loops (D, anti-codon, and T loops). Further hydrogen bonds mediate the characteristic L-shaped molecular structure. tRNAs have two regions of fundamental functional importance: the anti-codon, which is responsible for specific mRNA codon recognition, and the 3' end, to which the tRNAs corresponding amino acid is attached (by aminoacyl-tRNA synthetases). tRNAs cope with the degeneracy of the genetic code in two manners: having more than one tRNA (with a specific anti-codon) for a particular amino acid; and 'wobble' base-pairing, i.e. permitting non-standard base-pairing at the 3rd anti-codon position.
Source: RNAcentral